Non-coding RNA from Nelumbo nucifera (sacred lotus), 1149 nucleotides. Lineage: Eukaryota; Viridiplantae; Streptophyta; Magnoliopsida; Proteales; Nelumbonaceae. The record is from RefSeq and is a predicted model, not a curated record.
UCUCUCUUUCUCCCUCUCUCUCUCUCGCUAAGUUAUCUCUCUCUCUUGCACUCGUGCUCUCUCUAUCUCCAUCUCUCUCACACACGAUUGGACAUCAGCGAUUCUCUCUGUCUCUCACGGUCUCUCUCUCAGAUACAUCCGCAGCAUUUGAUUCACAGUCUAAGUACUGAGGAACUCUAAAGGACAGCUUCAAUUUGCCAAGGAGGUAAGGUAUGUAAUGAGAAGUGUAUUUGGUGACCCAAAUAAAGCUCCACCCCCACUGGAGAAGCUUAGUCCUGAAGCAGUAGUUUCAGUCCUAUGGAAAGGGGAAGGAUCACUUGUUGAAGAGUUAGUCCAGUGCAUGGCUCCUCAUAUUGGAAGAGGGCUUGCUGAAUGACUUAAAAGAGAGAUUCGAGAGCAUGGCCCUUCUGGAUCUGUAGAUUUCCGGAGAGAACUGCAGAAAUCUUUAUUAUGGAACUUACGUUCUUAUAAUUACUUCUCGUAAGGAAGUUGGCAGCUAUCUUGGUUUUUCCAUUUUCCAGGUGAUGUCUAUGAGGUUUCUAUCGUGCAAUGAUGCUUUGUAGCUUUCAACUGCUCAAGAAGUAGGGGUUUCUUUUGCCAAUUUCCCUGGAACUAGAAUCUACAAGUUUUCCUUGUAAAGAUUGAAUUGCAUUUGUUUGGGCUUCAUAUGCUGAGAAUGUGCAUAUAUGAUUUUGAAAUUCCAGAAGGCUGCUGCAAGGGGACCAUUGAAAGUAACAUAUGAAAAAUACUUGCAUCCUGAUCAAAGUAAUGUUGCAGCAAUAGAAGCAAUUGACAGGCUUCCUCCGUGACAUCAAGUCCUAUGGGAGCUCAGAUUAUGACACAAUGCGGUACAAUGUGGACAUGAAAUUCAGGAAGAUGGCAUUAGGCAGGCAGGAGUACAUUAGACUUUCUUUCCCUCGUAAGAAUAUAUGGAUCUUGAGUUUAUAAGAAGAGAGAAUGCGAAGAAAAGAUUCACUUGCCAGAUCAAAUCCGAGCUGCCAAAAGCAAAAGAGUGGAAUGUGUAGCAGUCACAAACUCUUUGGUUCAGACCCUACUGAAUUUUUGUACAAACCAAGAAAUUAUCAAAUUGAAAAUAAGAUGUAUUUGUGAUUCAAAUUGUUUGAAUGGAGAAUGGCUUUUUAAAUUUUA